AAUAUAAAUCCUACAAGAGUGGGAUUUGUCUCCAUUGUAUUUGUAUUUAAAGGGCUGUUUAGUCGUGUAUUAGAAGGGAGAAUCAUCAAUUGAUACACAUUCAUCAUAUUGAUUUAUCAAAUUGGGUCAUCGUGUGAAUAGAUCAUUUAAUUUUAACAUAAUGGGUGCUUGGUAAAGUGACGAUAGAGAUUCUGUUAUAAACAUAAUUGAAUUGGUCAUUGGUAAGUGGCGGUCUGAAAUCUUUACUAUUGGUCUUUCUGCAGCAUCAUAUUUAGCUCAAAAUUUAUGCAUCUUUGUGCACUUUUUUUUCAGAUGGAGCAUGAGACUUAUCAACAAGGAAGUAGCAGCAGCAGCAGUGGGCAGAGCCAGAGGAGUGUGGUGGGAAGACAUAAUGGUGGGGGGCAAUGGAAACCAGCCUUACAGAGUAUUGCAGAGAUUGGAACUUGAACUCACUCACCCCAAGCAGAAGUGCCACUCCUAUCUCAAUUACUACAUAUUUUCCUACCUAGGCUAAGCCUUUCCAAAACAAGAAAUUGGCUUUUCUCAAAUGUUCCUACCACUCCUAUCUCAAUUACAUAUUUUCUUAGCUAGGCUAAGCCUUUCCAAAAUAAGAAAUUGGCUUUUCUCAAAUGUUCCUACUUUAGUUUAGAAAUUAUUUAGUACAAUGGGAGUUGAUGUUUGACAGACUCACUCUAAAGAAUUGUAGCUUAGCUUAUUUUCAAGUUUCACAUAAUUAAACAAUUACUGUCAUUUGUUUCUAUUCGCAAAAUCCUUGCAAAUUACUACAGAGCGAUCAACUAGCUAGAUAGGGAAAUUCCACAGCAAGUAUUAUGAUUGUGUCCUGCUUAUGUUUCAGGUUCUUCUGAGAUAAUUUGUUCAAUAUUUAGACGCUGUACCAAAAAUAUUUUUAGUAUUAAAGCGUAUGUAUUUUGGUGUAUAUAUGGAUAGUAACUAGUAUAUUGUAUGUUUAGGAUUAGGAGAGUUUUCCAUAUUUAUUAGGAAUAGG
This 1006-nucleotide long non-coding RNA is filed under the name Nicotiana benthamiana. RNAcentral describes it as "long non-coding RNA (NBEN_LNC019554)". Lineage: Eukaryota; Viridiplantae; Streptophyta; Magnoliopsida; Solanales; Solanaceae. The record is from RNAcentral.